RNAcentral lists this long non-coding RNA (683 nucleotides) under Eucalyptus grandis. RNAcentral's name for it is "long non-coding RNA (EGRA_LNC007091)". The record is from RNAcentral. Lineage: Eukaryota; Viridiplantae; Streptophyta; Magnoliopsida; Myrtales; Myrtaceae.
UCUUCCCAAGUUCGCUGCUCAGCAUCUGCAACCGACCGCCCGACUCUUCCUCAACCACACUGCACUCGCCUCGCUGUUCGACCCCAGCAACGGAGCUACACCUCACCGCGACCCAGCCGUGCUACUAGUUGCUGCCACUUUGCUGGUCGUCCACCAUCGCCCGGCAUAGAUCCGACGAUCCGACGCCCCUGCUGCCGUGCCUCCCGUUGCCCUCCGCCCGAAGCUCCUUCGCCUUACCGCGCGACUACUUCUUCACCACCGUCCCUUGCUGUUCGCGAAGUCCGACACCCUCCUCUGCUUUCCGCCAGUAAUCGAUCCGCCCAACGCCGCCUGCUGCUACUCGGAGCCGAAGACCCUGCGCCGCCGUCGUUCAGCCUCCAAAAGUCCGAGCCAUCCCUACUGCCGGCUGACCCAUGAUUCCGACCGCCAGCUGUCGCCCGAACCGCCGCGACACCACCACCCGUUGCCCGACGCCGCUCGUUACUCCCGAUGCCCGCGAUCGCCGGUGUUUGUCGCCCAGCAGCCGAACCCAAGCCGAAUCGCGGUCCGACCCGGCACCCUUGUCCGUGAAGCUACCACCGAUUCACCUCCUCGCUGCUCGCUUGCUGCUGUUUUCCUCUCGCCGGAGCUCUGACGAUCAUCCCCUAACGCCGGCGACUCCUCACCGGACCGGCCACCACGCG